GACGAACGCUGGCGGCGUGCUUAACACAUGCAAGUCGAACGAUGACGACCGAGCUUGCUCGGUCUGAUUAGUGGCGAACGGGUGAGUAACACGUGAGCAACCUGCCCUUCACUCUGGGAUAACCUCGGGAAAUCGGGGCUAAUACCGGAUAUGAGCUCCUGUCGCAUGGCGGGUGUUGGAAAGUUUUUCGGUGAAGGAUGGGCUCGCGGCCUAUCAGUUUGUUGGUGAGGUAGUGGCUCACCAAGGCGAUGACGGGUAGCCGGCCUGAGAGGGCGACCGGCCCCCACGGGACCGGGGACAGGGCCAGACUUCUAAGGGGGGCCGGAGUGGGGAAUAUUGCACAAUGGGCGAAAGCCUGAUGCAGCGACGCCGCGUGAGGGAUGACGGCCUUCGGGUUGUAAACCUCUUUCAGCAGGGAAGAAGCGAAAGUGACGGUACCUGCAGAAGAAGCGCCGGCUAACUACGUG
Molecule: ribosomal RNA, 467 nt
Filed under: uncultured bacterium
Lineage: Bacteria
Description: partial 16S ribosomal RNA
Rfam family: Bacterial small subunit ribosomal RNA
Source: RNAcentral